RNAcentral lists this ribosomal RNA (305 nucleotides) under uncultured bacterium. RNAcentral describes it as "bacterial SSU rRNA". It matches the Rfam family "Bacterial small subunit ribosomal RNA", at positions 333 to 654 of the family's 1533-position model. The record is from RNAcentral.
UUGGGCCUACGGGAGGCAGCAGUGGGGAAUAUUGCACAAUGGGGGAAACCCUGAUGCAGCGACGCCGCGUGAGUGAAGGAGUAUUUCGGUAUGUAAAGCCCUAUCGGCAGGGAAGAAGCAAGACGGUACCUGACUAAGAAGCCCCGGCUAACCACGUGCCAGCAGCCGCGGUAAUACGUAGGGGGCGAGCGUUAUCCGGAUUCACUGGGUGUAAAGGGAGCGUAGACGGCCAUGCAAGCCAGGGGUGAAAGCCCGGGGCCCAACCCCGGGACUGCCCUUGGAACUGCAUGGCUGGGGUGCCGGCG